RNAcentral lists this ribosomal RNA (481 nucleotides) under uncultured bacterium. RNAcentral describes it as "bacterial SSU rRNA". It matches the Rfam family "Bacterial small subunit ribosomal RNA", at positions 29 to 508 of the family's 1533-position model. The record is from RNAcentral.
AGCGAACGCUGGCGGCAUGCUUAACACAUGCAAGUCGCACGGAUCUUUCGGGAUUAGUGGCGAACGGGUGAGUAACACGUGGACAACCUGCCUCAAGGCUGGGGAUAACAUUUGGAAACAGAUGCUAAUACCGAAUAAAACUCAGUGUCGCAUGACACAAAGUUAAAAGGCGCUUUGGCGUCACCUAGAGAUGGAUCCGCGGUGCAUUAGUUAGUUGGUGGGGUAAAGGCCUACCAAGACGAUGAUGCAUAGCCGAGUUGAGAGACUGAUCGGCCACAUUGGGACUGAGACACGGCCCAAACUCCUACGGGAGGCUGCAGUAGGGAAUCUUCCACAAUGGGCGAAAGCCUGAUGGAGCAACGCCGCGUGUGUGAUGAAGGCUUUCGGGUCGUAAAGCACUGUUGUAUGGGAAGAACAGCUAGAAUAGGGAAUGAUUUUAGUUUGACGGUACCAUACCAGAAAGGGACGGCUAAAUACGUGC